UUAGAGUUUGAAUCCUGGCUCAGAUUGAACGCUGGCGGCAGGCUUAACACAUGCAAGUCGAGCGGUAACAGGGGAGCUUGCUCCUGCUGACGAGCGGCGGACGGGUGAGUAAUGUCUGGGGAUCUGCCCUAGUGAGGGGAAUAACCACUGGAAACGGUGGCUAAUGCCGCAUAACGUCGCAAGACCAAAGUGGGGGACUUUCGNGCCUCACGCACUAGGAUGAACCCAGAUGAGAUUAGCUAGUUGGUGAGGUAACGGCUCACCAAGGCGACGAUCUCUAGCUGGUCUGAGAGGAUGAUCAGCCACACUGGGACUGAGACACGGCCCAGACUCCUACGGGAGGCAGCAGUGGGGAAUAUUGGACAAUGGGGGCAACCCUGAUCCAGCCAUGCCGCGUGUGUGAAGAAGGCCUUCGGGUUGUAAAGCACUUUCAUUGGUGAGGAAGGAUGUUAAGUUAAUACCUUAAUAUAUUGACGUUAACCAAAGAAGAAGCACCGGCUAACUCCGUGCCAGCAGCCGCGGUAAUACGGAGGGUGCGAGCGUUAAUCGGAAUUACUGGGCGUAAAGGGCAUGCAGGCGGUUACAUAAGUCAGGUGUGAAAUCCCCGCGCUUAACGUGGGCAUUGCAUUUGAAACUAUGUAGCUAGAGUUCUGUAGAGGGGGGUAGAAUUCCAGGUGUAGCGGUGAAAUGCGUAGAGAUCUGGAGGAAUACCGAUUGCGAAGGCAGCCCCCUGGACAGUGAACUGACGCUCAUAUGCGAAAAGCGUGGGUCAA
This 773-nucleotide ribosomal RNA is filed under the name Thorsellia anophelis. RNAcentral's name for it is "bacterial SSU rRNA". It matches the Rfam family "Bacterial small subunit ribosomal RNA", at positions 1 to 771 of the family's 1533-position model. The record is from RNAcentral. Lineage: Bacteria; Pseudomonadati; Pseudomonadota; Gammaproteobacteria; Enterobacterales; Thorselliaceae.